AGCAGCCGCGGUAAUUCCAGCUCCAAUAGCGUAUAUUAAAGUUGUUGCAGUUAAAAAGCUCGUAGUUGAAUUUCGGGGUCAGUAGGUCGGUCGUGCCACUGGUAUGAACUGGUUUUACUGAUUCCUCCCUCUUGAAGAACUGUAAUGCCAUUAAUUUGGUGUUGCAGGGAAUCAGGACUGUUACUUUGAAAAAAUUUAGAGUGUUUAAAGCAGGCUUUAGCAUGAAUACAUUAGCAUGGAAUAAUGAAAUAGGACGUUUGAUCCUAUUUUGUUGGUUUCUAGGAUUGACGUAAUGAUUAAUAGGGAUAGUUGGGGGCAUUAGUAUUCAAUUGUCAGAGGUGAAAUUCUUGGAUUUAUUGAAGACUAACUACUGCGAAAGCAUUUGCCAAGGAUGUUUUCAUUAAUCAAGAACGAAAGUUAGGGGAUCGAAGACGAUCAGAUACCGUCGUAGUCUUAACCAUAAACUAUGCCGACUAGGGAUCGGAUGAUGUUAAUUUUUUAAUGACUCAUUCGGCGCCUU
RNAcentral lists this ribosomal RNA (520 nucleotides) under uncultured Glomus. Its description in RNAcentral is "SSU rRNA". It matches the Rfam family "Eukaryotic small subunit ribosomal RNA", at positions 569 to 1089 of the family's 1831-position model. Lineage: Eukaryota; Fungi; Glomeromycota; Glomeromycetes; Glomerales; Glomeraceae. The record is from RNAcentral.